This 71-nucleotide transfer RNA is filed under the name Ipomoea nil (Japanese morning glory). It matches the Rfam family "tRNA". Rfam says of the family: Transfer RNA (tRNA) molecules are approximately 80 nucleotides in length. The record is from Rfam by way of RNAcentral. Lineage: Eukaryota; Viridiplantae; Streptophyta; Magnoliopsida; Solanales; Convolvulaceae.
GUUUUCUUUGCUCAGUGGUUGAGCGCGUGGAUUUUAACUACGUGGUCAUGGGUUCGGUCCCAUAGACGAUG